CGCAGUGGCUCAUACCUGUAAUCCUAACAUUUUGGGAGUCCGAGGCAGAAGGAUCGUUUAAGGCCAGGAGUUUGAGACCAGCCUAGGCAACAAAGUGAGACUUUGUCUCUACAAAAAAAAAAAAAUUUAAAUUAUAAAAAAAAACUGAUAAGAGGGCAGGGGGAGAUGGGUUUCUAGGCAGGGAAAUAGGAUAUGACAAACUAAGAAAAACUCAGCUUGUCCUAAGCAUAAAAUUAAAGGGGGGAAGAGGUAGCUAAUCUGGGAUCAGGUUUUAAAGGCUCCCAAGUCUUGUAAGAGACACGGACAUUAUCCUCAAAGCAGUGGGGAGCUUAUUUAAGAAAGUGAAAAGAGGCUGAUCUUGAACUCCCGACCUCAGGUGAUCCACCCGCCUCGACCUCCGAAAGUGCUGGGAUUACAGGCAUGAGCCACCACGCCCAGCCCAAAUGGUGUUUUAAAGGUCAUCAUGUCUCCUGGGUUCCCUAACAAACACAGUCCAGCUUUUUCCUGGCAUUACCUGGACCACCUGAUGCCAUGCCACCU
Molecule: long non-coding RNA, 540 nt
Filed under: Homo sapiens (human)
Lineage: Eukaryota; Metazoa; Chordata; Mammalia; Primates; Hominidae
Description: novel transcript, antisense to ATXN2L
Source: RNAcentral